Acanthosepion pharaonis is the source of this 99-nucleotide non-coding RNA. NCBI's taxonomy places the organism in Eukaryota, Metazoa, Mollusca, Cephalopoda, Sepiida, Sepiidae. The record is from the annotation of a GenBank genome assembly.
GUUGAAAUACCGGUCCCCGUACGAUCACCGAAUUUAAGCAACAUUGAUCCUGCUCAGUACCUGGGUGGAUGACUGCUUCGGAAUAACAGGUGCAGUAAG